RNAcentral lists this ribosomal RNA (443 nucleotides) under uncultured bacterium. RNAcentral describes it as "partial 16S ribosomal RNA". It matches the Rfam family "Bacterial small subunit ribosomal RNA", at positions 338 to 795 of the family's 1533-position model. The record is from RNAcentral.
CCUACGGGAGGCAGCAGUGAGGAAUAUUGGUCAAUGGGCGCGAGCCUGACCCAGCAACGCCGCGUGAAGGAAGAAGGCUUUCGGGUUGUAAACUUCUUUUCUCAGGGACGAAGAAAGUGACGGUACCUGAGGAAUAAGCCACGGCUAACUACGUGCCAGCAGCCGCGGUAAUACGUAGGUGGCAAGCGUGAUCCGGAUUUAUUGGGUGUAAAGGGCGUGUAGGCGGGAGCGCAAGUCAGAUGUGAAAACUCAGGGCUCAACCCUGAGCCUGCAUUUGAAACUGUGUUUCUUGAGUGCUGGAGAGGCAAUCGGAAUUCCGUGUGUAGCGGUGAAAUGCGUAGAUAUACGGAGGAACACCAGUGGCGAAGGCGGAUUGCUGGACUGUAACUGACGCUGAGGCGCGAAAGCGUGGGGAGCAAACAGGAUUAGAUACCCGAGUAGUC